ACCCCUGUAGCUCAUUUGGAUAGACCACCCGACUGCUAAUCGGGAGGUAACCGGAUCGUGCCCGGUCAGGGGUA
This 74-nucleotide transfer RNA is filed under the name Gemmatimonas aurantiaca. RNAcentral describes it as "tRNA-Ser". It matches the Rfam family "tRNA". From Rfam's summary of the family: Transfer RNA (tRNA) molecules are approximately 80 nucleotides in length. RNAcentral also lists the same sequence under 1 other name. Lineage: Bacteria; Pseudomonadati; Gemmatimonadota; Gemmatimonadia; Gemmatimonadales; Gemmatimonadaceae. The record is from RNAcentral.